GACGAACGCUGGCGGCGUGCUUAACACAUGCAAGUCGAACGGAAAGGCCCUGCUUUUGUGGGGUGCUCGAGUGGCGAACGGGUGAGUAACACGUGAGUAACCUGCCCUUGUCUUUGGGAUAACUUCAGGAAACUGGGGCUAAUACCGGAUAGGAGCUCCUGCUGCAUGGUGGGGGUUGGAAAGUUUCGGCGGUUGGGGAUGGACUCGCGGCUUAUCAGCUUGUUGGUGGGGUAGUGGCUUACCAAGGCUUUGACGGGUAGCCGGCCUGGGAGGGGGACCGGCCACAUUGGGACUGAGAUACGGCCCAGACUCCUACGGGACGCAGCAGUGGGGAAUAUUGCACAAUGGGCGGAAGCCUGAUGCAGCAACGCCGCGUGCGGGAUGACGGCCUUCGGGUUGUAAACCGCUUUCUCCUGUGACGAAGCGUGAGUGACGGUAAUGGGUAAAGAAGCACCGGCUAACUACGUG
Molecule: ribosomal RNA, 468 nt
Filed under: uncultured bacterium
Lineage: Bacteria
Description: partial 16S ribosomal RNA
Rfam family: Bacterial small subunit ribosomal RNA
Source: RNAcentral